Molecule: long non-coding RNA, 492 nt
Organism: Homo sapiens (human)
Lineage: Eukaryota; Metazoa; Chordata; Mammalia; Primates; Hominidae
Source: Ensembl
GCCGCCUCAGGGAGGUCGGGAGCCGCGGCGCGGAGGGAGGACUCAGCCCUUCGCUCCCGCGUUUCGCCGGAGGUCUCAGGCCACGGCCCGUCGCCACCUACCGAGUCCGGGACAAAACAAGCUCGUCGGGCUGGAAACUGCGACGAGGGGAGCAGGCGCGUUCCUCGAACCCUUUUUCGGAGUCUGCGGAUGAUCACAGACCUGCGUUCGAAGAUUGGCGGCACGUCGAGAACCGCACACGCUUUUUUUUCCUUUUAUGAGCGUAGUCGCGCGCGGAGGACCUUGCACGCAUGCGUAGUCGUUCCUCUGUGACGUGACCCGCUGCCCCGUGGGAAAUGUAGUUUUCACUUGGCACACCGCUCCGGCUCUUGGCGGAACCCUAAUUUAACCAACCAAAGUGCUUGUGCGUUUUCAGCGUUUUCUCCCAUUUCCCCAGACUCUAUUUAAAACAAAAUGCAAUAAAUAAAUAAAUAAAUAAAACUUGAAAGCGAA